This 363-nucleotide ribosomal RNA is filed under the name uncultured bacterium. Its description in RNAcentral is "partial 16S ribosomal RNA". It matches the Rfam family "Bacterial small subunit ribosomal RNA", at positions 338 to 698 of the family's 1533-position model. The record is from RNAcentral.
CCUACGGGGGGCAGCAGUGAGGAAUAUUGGUCAAUGGACGCAAGUCUGAACCAGCCAUGCCGCGUGCAGGAAGACGGCUCUAUGAGUUGUAAACUGCUUUUGUACGAGGGUAAACGCAGAUACGCGUAUCCGUCUGAAAGUACCGUACGAAUAAGGAUCGGCCAACGCCGUGCCAGCAGCCCCGGUAAGACGGAGGAUUCAAGCGUUAACCGGAUUUAAUGGGUUUAAAGGGUGCGGAGGCGGUCGGAUAAGUUAGAGGUGAAGUCCCGAGGCUCAACUUCGGAAUUGACUCUGAUACUGGCCGGCGAGAGAGUAGUAGAGGUAGGCGGAAUGUAUGGUGUAGCGGUGAAAUGCUUAGAGAUC